Non-coding RNA from Peromyscus maniculatus bairdii (prairie deer mouse), 125 nucleotides. The record is from RefSeq and is a predicted model, not a curated record. Lineage: Eukaryota; Metazoa; Chordata; Mammalia; Rodentia; Cricetidae.
GAAAUUAUUGAGGGGAAGGAUGCUAUGAGGGUGAUUAUGGAUGGAACAACAACCAGAUUUCAAAUGUCUUGGCUUCUGUCAGGAAAAACUGCUAUUGAGAGAGAACUUAGAGAACGGAAGAGCAC